GUAGAUCCCAGGUUCUCUACUAAGCUCAGAAAAGAAAAACAAGCAAAAAAAGAUAUCAAACGUGUGGAUCUGAAGAUCUCCUCUGCUGCUGUAUCAGACUCUGCUCUGUACUACUGUGCUCUGAGGCCCACAGUGACAGGAAACACCAGAACACUGUACAAAAACACAACCAAUUAUAUGAAUUAUAGAUAGAUUAUGAAUGCACAUCAAUACUAUUGUAUAUGAAUACUAUUAUUGUUAUUUAUUUACAGUAUACUCUGUAAGUCCGCGACCAAAUGUUGAUUUAAAAACAAUUCAGCUUGAUUACAGUAUGUACAGUAUAGGCACGCCAAGUGAAUAUGCUUUUACCACCAAAAUAAACAUUAUCCCUAAUUUUUUUUCUGUGUGGAUAUGCACAUCUAAACAGAGAUUAUAAAAAGUGCUAUAACAAAAACCAAAAGAAUGAAGAAUUAAUACAGAUUAUAUUGAAAAAUUCUUUAUCAUACAAUAGCGUUAGUUAGUAACCACAAGAGGGCGCUAUGCACUAUAGGACGUGACUAGUAAUCAUAUGAAAGUUGUGUAUGAAACAGAUUUGAGCUGCAUUUCCCGAAAGCUUUGUAAACUUAAGUACAUCGUAGACUCAUUCAAACCAAUGAAGCUGGGAGGUGGGGUUUAAAACAUUGAUAUCUGAUGUGAUCUUGAAAAACUGCAAGUCUGUUAGAGAGAGAAUAAGAAACACACACAAUGAUUCUCAAUUCUGUAAUUGUGCUUUUUGCCUUUACAUAUGCAGCAUAUGGAAAUGAAAUUAAACCAACCAAAACUUUGGAGUUUGCUGAAGAGGAUUCAAGUGUUAAAUUAUCCUACAGUUAUUCAUCUGCAUUAACUCUCUACUGGUACCGUCAGUAUCCUGGAUCAGCUCCUCAGUUCAUUGUGUUCAUCUCAGAUGGAUCAAAACAAGAUCAGGAGUCUAUUGUAGAUUCCAGAUUCACUGCCAAAGUCACCAAAGACAAAGACAGCCAUGUGGAUCUGGAGAUCUCCUCUGCAUCUAUAUCAGAUUCUGCUCUGUACUACUGUGCUCUGGAGCCCACAGUGACAGAAAACACAAGAACACUGUACAAAAACUUGUUUCACAGUGUGAUGGCUGCAGACCAGAUUGGGCCAAACAAGGGUGAAAAUGUCCUCAGUACAGAAGGAGAGUCUGUGACACUGAGCUGCUCCUAUGAUACAAGCAGCAGAUAUGUUAGACUUUACUGGUACAGACUGCAUCCUAAUGGAGAACCUAAAGUUGGAGCCCAGUGA
Molecule: non-coding RNA, 1278 nt
Organism: Carassius carassius (crucian carp)
Lineage: Eukaryota; Metazoa; Chordata; Actinopteri; Cypriniformes; Cyprinidae
Source: the annotation of a RefSeq genome assembly